UCAGGAUGAACGCUGGCGGUAUGCGUAACACAUGCAAGUCGAACGAAGUUUUUCGGAACUUAGUGGCGGACGGGUGAGUAACGCGUGAGAAUCUGCCUUAAGGAUUGGGACAACAGUGGGAAACCGCUGCUAAUACCAAAUAUGCCUUUUAGUGAAACGGGUAAAACCGCCUUAAGAUGAGCUCGCGUCUGAUUAGCUAGUAGGUGUGGUAAGAGCGCACCUAGGCGACGAUCAGUAGCUGGUCUGAGAGGACGACCAGCCACACUGGGACUGAGACACGGCCCAGACUCCUACGGGAGGCAGCAGUGAGGAAUUUUCCGCAAUGGGCGAAAGCCUGACGGAGCAAUACCGCGUGAGGGAGGAAGGUUCUUGGAUUGUAAACCUCUUUUCUCAGAGAAGAAUAAUGACGGUAUCUGAGGAAUAAGCAUCGGCUAACUCCGUGCCAGCAGCCGCGGUAAUACGGAGGAUGCAAGCGUUAUCCGGAAUGAUUGGGCGUAAAGGGUCUGUAGGUGGUUGUUCAAGUCUGCUGUUAAAGCGUCUGGCUUAACCAGAUAAAGGCGGUGGAAACUGAACGACUAGAGUGCGGUAGGGGUAGAGGGAAUU
Molecule: ribosomal RNA, 603 nt
Filed under: uncultured bacterium
Lineage: Bacteria
Description: bacterial SSU rRNA
Rfam family: Bacterial small subunit ribosomal RNA
Source: RNAcentral